CACUGCCGAGAAAAGCCUCUAGAUAGAAAAUAGGUGCCCGUACCGCAAACCGACACAGGUAGUCAAGAUGAGAAUUCUAAGGUGAGCGAGCGAACUCUCGUUAAGGAACUCGGCAAAAUGACCCCGUAACUUCGGGAGAAGGGGUGCUCUUUAGGGUUAACGCCCAGAAGAGCCGCAGUGAAUAGGCCCAAGCGACUGUUUAUCAAAAACACAGGUCUCUGCUAAACCGUAAGGUGAUGUAUAGGGGCUGACGCCUGCCCGGUGCUGGAAGGUUAAGAGGAGUGGUUAGCUUCUGCGAAGCUACGAAUCGAAGCCCCAGUAAACGGCGGCCGUAACUAUAACGGUCCUAAGGUAGCGAAAUUCCUUGUCGGGUAAGUUCCGACCCGCACGAAAGGCGUAACGAUUUGGGCACUGUCUCAACGAGAGACUCGGUGAAAUCAUAGUACCUGUGAAGAUGCAGGUUACCCGCGACAGGACGGAAAGACCCCGUGGAGCUUUACUGUAGCCUGAUAUUGAAAUUCGGCACAGCUUGUACAGGAUAGGUAGGAGCCUUUGAAACGUGAGCGCUAGCUUACGUGGAGGCGCUGGUGGGAUACUACCCUA
This 603-nucleotide ribosomal RNA is filed under the name Staphylococcus aureus. Its description in RNAcentral is "partial 23S ribosomal RNA". It matches the Rfam family "Bacterial large subunit ribosomal RNA", at positions 1603 to 2207 of the family's 2925-position model. Lineage: Bacteria; Bacillati; Bacillota; Bacilli; Caryophanales; Staphylococcaceae. The record is from RNAcentral.